GAUGAACGCUCGCGGCAGGCCUAAUACAUGCAAGUCGGACGGGAUUCAGGAGCUUGCUUCUGAUGAGAGUGGCGCACGGGUGCGUAACACGUAUGUAACCUACCUUUAUCAGGGGGAUAGCCUCUCGAAAGAGAGAUUAAGCCCGCAUAAAAUCACAGCACAGCAUUGUGUACUGAUCAAAUAUUUAUAGGAUAAAGAUGGGCAUGCGGAACAUUAGCUAGAUGGCGGGGUAACGGCCCACCAUGGCGACGAUGUUUAGGGGAUCUGAGAGGAUGGCCCCCCACACUGGUACUGAGACACGGACCAGACUCCUACGGGAGGCAGCAGUAAGGAAUAUUGGGCAAUGGGCGGAAGCCUGAACCAGCCAUGCCGCGUGCAGGAAGACGGCCCUACGGGUUGUAAACUGCUUUUAGACGGGAAUAAACCCAGAUACGUGUAUCUGGCUGAAUGUACUGUAAGAAUAAGGAUCGGCUAACUCCGUG
Molecule: ribosomal RNA, 482 nt
Filed under: uncultured bacterium
Lineage: Bacteria
Description: partial 16S ribosomal RNA
Rfam family: Bacterial small subunit ribosomal RNA
Source: RNAcentral